This 497-nucleotide ribosomal RNA is filed under the name uncultured bacterium. RNAcentral's name for it is "partial 16S ribosomal RNA". It matches the Rfam family "Bacterial small subunit ribosomal RNA", at positions 28 to 507 of the family's 1533-position model. The record is from RNAcentral.
GAUGAACGCUGGCGGCGUGCCUAAUACAUGCAAGUCGAGCGAACGGACGAGAAGCUUGCUUCUCUGAUGUUAGCGGCGGACGGGUGAGUAGCACGUGGAUAACCUACCUAUAAGACUGGGAUAACUUCGGGAAACCGGAGCUAAUACCGGAUAAUAUUUUGAACCGCAUGGUUCAAAAGUGAAAGACGGUCUUGCUGUCACUUAUAGAUGGAUCCGCGCUGCACUAGCUAGUUGGUAAGGUAACGGCUUACCAAGGCAACGAUGCAUAGCCGACCUGAGAGGGUGAUCGGCCACACUGGAACUGAGACACGGUCCAGACUCCUACGGGAGGCAGCAGUAGGGAAUCUUCCGCAAUGGGCGAAAGCCUGACGGAGCAACGCCGCGUGAGUGAUGAAGGUCUUCGGAUCGUAAAACUCUGUUAUUAGGGAAGAACAUAUGUGUAAGUAACUGUGCACAUCUUGACGGUACCUAAUCAGAAAGCCACGGCUAACUACGUG